Molecule: ribosomal RNA, 476 nt
Filed under: Stenotrophomonas maltophilia
Lineage: Bacteria; Pseudomonadati; Pseudomonadota; Gammaproteobacteria; Lysobacterales; Lysobacteraceae
Description: bacterial SSU rRNA
Rfam family: Bacterial small subunit ribosomal RNA
Source: RNAcentral
AGUGAACGCUGGCGGUAGGCCUAACACAUGCAAGUCGAACGGCAGCACAGAGGAGCUUGCUCCUUGGGUGGCGAGUGGCGGACGGGUGAGGAAUACAUCGGAAUCUACUCUGUCGUGGGGGAUAACGUAGGGAAACUUACGCUAAUACCGCAUACGACCUACGGGUGAAAGCAGGGGAUCUUCGGACCUUGCGCGAUUGAAUGAGCCGAUGUCGGAUUAGCUAGUUGGCGGGGUAAAGGCCCACCAAGGCGACGAUCCGUAGCUGGUCUGAGAGGAUGAUCAGCCACACUGGAACUGAGACACGGUCCAGACUCCUACGGGAGGCAGCAGUGGGGAAUAUUGGACAAUGGGCGCAAGCCUGAUCCAGCCAUACCGCGUGGGUGAAGAAGGCCUUCGGGUUGUAAAGCCCUUUUGUUGGGAAAGAAAUCCAGCUGGCUAAUACCCGGUUGGGAUGACGGUACCCAAAGAAUAAGCAC